RNAcentral lists this ribosomal RNA (301 nucleotides) under uncultured bacterium. Its description in RNAcentral is "partial 16S ribosomal RNA". It matches the Rfam family "Bacterial small subunit ribosomal RNA", at positions 509 to 807 of the family's 1533-position model. The record is from RNAcentral.
CAGUAGCCGCGGUAAUACGAAGGGGGCUAGCGUUGCUCGGAAUCACUGGGCGUAAAGGGUGCGUAGGCAGGUCUUUAAGUCAGGGGUGAAAUCCUGGAGCUCAACUCCAGAACUGCCUUUGAUACUGAAGAUCUUGAGUUCGGGAGAGGUGAGUGGAACUGCGAGUGUAGAGGUGAAAUUCGUAGAUAUUCGCAAGAACACCAGUGGCGAAGGCGGCUCACUGGCCCGAUACUGACGUUCAUACACGAAAGCGUGGGGAGCAAACAGGAUUAGAUACCCCGGUAGUCCCUGUCUCUUAUAC